This 442-nucleotide ribosomal RNA is filed under the name uncultured bacterium. Its description in RNAcentral is "partial 16S ribosomal RNA". It matches the Rfam family "Bacterial small subunit ribosomal RNA", at positions 338 to 795 of the family's 1533-position model. The record is from RNAcentral.
CCUACGGGCGACAGCAGUGGGGAAUAUUGGGCAAUGGGCGAAAGCCUGACCCAGCAACGCCGCGUGAAGGAAGAAGGCUUUCGGGUUGUAAACCUCUUUUGACAGGGAAGUGCAGACGACUGUACCUGUCUAAUAAGCCACGGCUAACUACGUGCCAGCAGCCGCGGUAAUACGUAGGUGGCAAGCGUUGUCCGGAUUUACUGGGUGAAAAGGGCGUGUAGCCGGGCUGACAAGUCAGAUGUGAAAUCCGGGGGCUCAACCCCCGAACUGCAUUUGAAACUGUCGGUCUUGAGUAUCGGAGAGGAAGGCGGAAUUCCUGGUGUAGCGGUGAAAUGCGUAGAUAUUAGGAAGAACACCAGUGGCGAAGGCAGCCUGCUGGACGACAACUGACGGUGAGGCGCGAAAGCGUGGGGAGCAAACAGGAUUAGAUACCCGAGUAGUC